GAUGAACGCUGGCGGCGUGCUUAACACAUGCAAGUCGAACGGAAAGGCCAGUGCUUGCCCUGGUACUCGAGUGGCGAAAGGGUGAGUAACACGUGGGUGAUCUGCCCUGCACUUCGGGAUAAGCCUGGGAAACUGGGUCUAAUACCGGAUAGGACAAUGGUUUGGAUGCCGUUGUGGAAAGUUUUUUCGGUGUGGGAUGAGCUCGCGGCCUAUCGGCUUGUUGGUGGGGUAAUGGCCUACCAAGGCGUCGACGGGUAGCCGGCCUGAGAGGGUGUACGGCCACAUUGGGACUGAGAUACGGCCCAGACUCCUACGGGAGGCAGCAGUGGGGAAUAUUGCACAAUGGGCGCAAGCCUGAUGCAGCGACGCCGCGUGGGGGAUGACGGCCUUCGGGUUGUAAACUCCUUUCGCUAGGGACGAAGCGUAUUUGUGACGGUACCUGGAGAAGAAGCACCGGCUAACUACGU
RNAcentral lists this ribosomal RNA (467 nucleotides) under uncultured bacterium. Its description in RNAcentral is "partial 16S ribosomal RNA". It matches the Rfam family "Bacterial small subunit ribosomal RNA", at positions 28 to 506 of the family's 1533-position model. The record is from RNAcentral.